UCGCCGCGGCGGUGGGCGGGCGGCUCGCCGGCGCGGACCCGGCGGCCGUCGUCACCGGCGGCGUGGAGUUCGACUCCCGGCGGGCCGGGCC
Molecule: transfer RNA, 91 nt
Filed under: Pilimelia anulata
Lineage: Bacteria; Bacillati; Actinomycetota; Actinomycetes; Micromonosporales; Micromonosporaceae
Description: tRNA-Pro
Source: RNAcentral